GCUGGCGGCAGGCGUAACACAUGCAAGUCGAGCGGGCGUAGCAAUACGUCAGCGGCAGACGGGUGAGUAACGCGUGGGAACGUACCUUUUGGUUCGGAACAACACAGGGAAACUUGUGCUAAUACCGGAUAAGCCCUUACGGGGAAAGAUUUAUCGCCGAAAGAUCGGCCCGCGUCUGAUUAGCUAGUUGGUGAGGUAAUGGCUCACCAAGGCGACGAUCAGUAGCUGGUCUGAGAGGAUGAUCAGCCACAUUGGGACUGAGACACGGCCCAAACUCCUACGGGAGGCAGCAGUGGGGAAUAUUUGACAAUGGGCGCAAGCCUGAUCCAGCCAUGCCGCGUGAGUGAUGAAGGCCCUAGGGUUGUAAAGCUCUUUUGUGCGGGAAGAUAAUGACGGUACCGCAAGAAUAAGCCCCGGCUAACUUCGUGCCAGCAGCCGCGGUAAUACGAAGGGGGCUAGCGUUGCUCGGAAUCACUGGGCGUAAAGGGUGCGUAGGCGGGUCUUUAAGUCAGGGGUGAAAUCCUGGAGCUCAACUCCAGAACUGCCUUUGAUACUGAGGAUCUUGAGUUCGGGAGAGGUGAGUGGAACUGC
RNAcentral lists this ribosomal RNA (591 nucleotides) under uncultured soil bacterium. RNAcentral's name for it is "bacterial SSU rRNA". It matches the Rfam family "Bacterial small subunit ribosomal RNA", at positions 35 to 670 of the family's 1533-position model. The record is from RNAcentral.